AGUGAACGCUGGCGGUAGGCCUAACACAUGCAAGUCGAACGGCAGCACAGUAAGAGCUUGCUCUUACGGGUGGCGAGUGGCGGACGGGUGAGGAGUACAUCGGAAUCUACUUUUUCGUGGGGGAUAACGUAGGGAAACUUACGCUCAUACCGCAUACGACCUACGGGUGAAAGCAGGGGAUCUUCGGACCUUGCGCGAAUGAAUGAGCCGAUGUCGGAUUAGCUAGUUGGCGGGGUAAAUGCCCACCAAGGCGACGAUCCGUAGCUGGUCUGGGAGGAGGGUCACCGACACUGGAACGUGAACACGGUCCAUACUCCUGCGAUAGGGAGCAGUGUGGAAUAUUGGGCAAUGGGCGCAAGCCUGAUCCAGCCAUACCGCGUGGGUGAAGAGGGCCUUGGGGGUGUAAAGACCUUUUGUUGGUAAAGAAACGCAUCAGGUUAAUACCCCGCGGUUCUGACGGUACCCAAAGAAUAAGCACCGGCUAACUUCGUG
This 492-nucleotide ribosomal RNA is filed under the name uncultured bacterium. Its description in RNAcentral is "partial 16S ribosomal RNA". It matches the Rfam family "Bacterial small subunit ribosomal RNA", at positions 29 to 507 of the family's 1533-position model. The record is from RNAcentral.